RNAcentral lists this ribosomal RNA (427 nucleotides) under uncultured bacterium. RNAcentral describes it as "partial 16S ribosomal RNA". It matches the Rfam family "Bacterial small subunit ribosomal RNA", at positions 355 to 774 of the family's 1533-position model. The record is from RNAcentral.
UGGGGAAUAUUGCACAAUGGGCGCAAGCCUGAUGCAGCCAUGCCGCGUGUAUGAAGAAGGCCUUCGGGUUGUAAAGUACUUUCAGCGAGGAGGAAGGCGUUGUGGUUAAUAACCGCAGCGAUUGACGUUACUCGCAGAAGAAGCACCGGCUAACUCCGUGCCAGCAGCCGCGGUAAUACGGAGGGUGCAAGCGUUAAUCGGAAUUACUGGGCGUAAAGCGCACGCAGGCGGUCAGUCAAGUCGGAUGUGAAAUCCCCGGGCUCAACCUGGGAACUGCAUCCGAAACUGGCAGGCUAGAGUCUUGUAGAGGGGGGUAGAAUUCCAGGUGUAGCGGUGAAAUGCGUAGAGAUCUGGAGGAAGACCGGUGGCGAAGGCGGCCCCCUGGACAAAGACUGACGCUCAGGUGCGAAAGCGUGGGGAGCAAACA